UUCCAGUCCCAAAGCAGCCAGGAGAACCACAGGAGCAUUUCUCAUCCUCUGCCAUGGCCAAAAGUCAACUCCACUCCAGCCUUCUGGUACAGAAAGAGUUCAGGCUGAAGAAGCUCCAUUAAAAAGGGAAGAAGGUGGAGACCAAAGCCAUUGUUUGCCAUUAACUUGAACCUGCAACCUGGAUCGAUUCUAAGACUAGUGGGAGACAUAUCAUCUAAUGCCUACCAAUUUACAAUUGCAUUGAACAAUAUUGACAAUAGCACUGCACUUCAUUUCACUGCACGUUUCAACUAUCUACGUGAUCACAACAAAAUAGUCUGCAACACCCGGAAUAAUGGGAAGUGGGGCAAAGAAAUAAGACAGAACUAUUUCCCCUUUCUGAAAGGGAUCAGAGUAGAGAUUUUCAUAGCAUUUCAAGGGACUUACUUUAAAAUAAAGCUGCCUGAUGGAUAUGAGUUUAGUGUCCCCAACCGCAAUGAAAUAACACUAAUCGAAACCCUGGGAGUUAGUGGAGACAUCAUAAUAAGAGCACUGUCCUUCGAAUGAGCCCUUCAAUCAAGCCAGCUUCAGACCAUUCUCAAGACUUGAAGCUUUUUAUUAGUAAUAAAAGUCCCAAUAAAUCAUUA
Antechinus flavipes (yellow-footed antechinus) is the source of this 626-nucleotide RNA transcript. It is a transcript of the gene named galectin-1-like, with no coding region annotated. NCBI's taxonomy places the organism in Eukaryota, Metazoa, Chordata, Mammalia, Dasyuromorphia, Dasyuridae. The record is from RefSeq and is a predicted model, not a curated record. The transcript has 5 exons.